AUAUUAAUUUCGGCAACCAUA
Molecule: microRNA, 21 nt
Filed under: Dictyostelium discoideum
Lineage: Eukaryota; Evosea; Eumycetozoa; Dictyosteliales; Dictyosteliaceae
Description: ddi-miR-7131b
Source: miRBase by way of RNAcentral